Molecule: ribosomal RNA, 165 nt
Filed under: Vigna umbellata (rice bean)
Lineage: Eukaryota; Viridiplantae; Streptophyta; Magnoliopsida; Fabales; Fabaceae
Description: partial small subunit ribosomal RNA
Rfam family: Eukaryotic small subunit ribosomal RNA
Source: RNAcentral
CACACCGCCCUUCGCUCCCCCGAUGAAUGGUCCGGUGAAGUUUCGUAUUGCGGCUACGUGGGCGGUUCGCUCCCGCGACUUGGUGAGAAGUCCACUGAACUCUUAUCAUUUAGAGGAAGGAGAAGUCGUACCAAGGUUUCCGAGGUGAACCUGCGAAGGAUCAUU